CGGCGCCUACGGGAGGCAGCAGUGAGGAAUAUUGGUCAAUGGUCGGGAGACUGAACCAGCCAAGCCGCGUGAGGGAGGAAGGAACAGAGUAUCGUAAACCUCUUUUGUCAGGGAACAAAGGCGGGGACGUGUCCCCGGAUGAGUGUACCUGAAGAAAAAGCAUCGGCUAACUCCGUGCCAGCAGCCGCGGUAAUACGGAGGAUGCGAGCGUUAUCCGGAUUUAUUGGGUUUAAAGGGUGCGCAGGCGGUCUGUUAAGUCAGCGGUCCAAGCCCGGGGCUCAACCCCGGCCCGCCGAUGAAACUGG
This 305-nucleotide ribosomal RNA is filed under the name uncultured bacterium. RNAcentral's name for it is "bacterial SSU rRNA". It matches the Rfam family "Bacterial small subunit ribosomal RNA", at positions 333 to 636 of the family's 1533-position model. The record is from RNAcentral.